RNAcentral lists this ribosomal RNA (479 nucleotides) under uncultured bacterium. RNAcentral describes it as "partial 16S ribosomal RNA". It matches the Rfam family "Bacterial small subunit ribosomal RNA", at positions 28 to 507 of the family's 1533-position model. The record is from RNAcentral.
GAUGAACGCUGGCGGCGUGCUUAACACAUGCAAGUCGAGCGAGAAGUUUUGAAAAGAUUCUUCGGAUGAAAUUUAAAAUGGAAAGCGGCGGACGGGUGAGUAACGCGUAGGCAACCUGCCCCAUACAAAGGGAUAGCAUUUGGAAACGAAUAUUAAUACCUUAUGAAACUUAACUAGUGCAUGCUAGGUAGGUCAAAGAUUUAUCGGUAUGGGAUGGGCCUGCGUCUGAUUAGCUAGUUGGUGAGGUAACGGCUCACCAAGGCGACGAUCAGUAGCCGACCUGAGAGAGUGAACGGCCACAUUGGAACUGAGACACGGUCCAAACUCCUACGGGAGGAAGCAGUGGGGAAGAUUGCACAAUGGGGGAAACCCUGAUGCAGCAACGACGCGUGAACGAGGAAGGCCUUUGGGUCGUAAAGUUCUGUUCUAGGGGAGGAAAACUGACAGUAACCUAGGAGAAAGCCCCGGCUAACUCCGUG